Molecule: ribosomal RNA, 483 nt
Filed under: uncultured bacterium
Lineage: Bacteria
Description: partial 16S ribosomal RNA
Rfam family: Bacterial small subunit ribosomal RNA
Source: RNAcentral
GACGAACGCUGGCGGCGUGCUUAACACAUGCAAGUCGAACGCUGAAGCUCAGCUUUUGUUGGGUGGAUGAGUGGCGAACGGGUGAGUAACACGUGAGUAACCUGCCCCCUUCUUUGGGAUAACGCCCGGAAACGGGUGCUAAUACUGGAUAUUCACUGGUCUUCGCAUGGGGGCUGGUGGAAAGGGUUUUUCUGGUGGGGGAUGGGCUCGCGGCCUAUCAGCUUGUUGGUGGGGUGAUGGCCUACCAAGGCUUUGACGGGUAGCCGGGCUGAGAGGGUGACCGGGAACAUAGGGACUGUGCUGCGGCCCAGGCGACUACGGGAGGGAGAAGUGGGGAAUAUUGCACAAUGGGCGCAAGCGUGAUGCAGCGACGCCGCGUGAGGGCUGGGGGCCGUCGGGUUGUGAACCUCUUUCGCUAAUGGUCAAGCCGCAACAAUGGUUGUGGUGAGGGUAGUGGGUAAAGAAGCGCCGGCUAACUACGUG